This 476-nucleotide ribosomal RNA is filed under the name uncultured bacterium. RNAcentral describes it as "partial 16S ribosomal RNA". It matches the Rfam family "Bacterial small subunit ribosomal RNA", at positions 29 to 523 of the family's 1533-position model. The record is from RNAcentral.
AGUGAACGCUGGCGGCGUGCUAAACACAUGCAAGUCGAACGGAUCAAAGUAGCUUGCUAUUUUGGUUAGUGGCGCACGGGUGAGUAAUGUAUAGCUAACCUGCCCUUUAGUGGGGGACAACAGUUGGAAACGACUGCUAAUACCCCAUACUCCUUCUUAUCAUAAGGUAGGAUGGGAAAGAUUUAUUGCUAAAGGAUGGGGCUUUAUGGUAUCAGCUAGUUGGUGGGGUAACGGCCUACCAAGGCUAUGACGCCUACCUGGUCUGAGAGGAUGAUCAGGCACACUGGAACUGAGACACGGUCCAGACUCCUACGGGAGGCAGCAGUGGGGAAUAUUGCACAAUGGAGGAAACUCUGAUGCAGCAACGCCGCGUGGAGGAUGACGCAUUUCGGUGUGUAAACUCCUUUUAUAAGGGAAGAUAAUGACGGUACCUUAUGAAUAAGCACCGGCUAACUCCGUGCCAGCAGCCGCAGUAA